GUGGGUGGCAAGCGUUGUCCGGGAAUUAUUGGGGCGUAAAGCGCGCGCAGGCGGUUCUUUAAGUCUGAUGUGAAAGCCCACGGGCUCAACCGUGGAGGGUCAUUGGAAACUGGAGAACUUGAGUACAGAAGAGGAAAGCGGAAUUCCACGUGUAGCGGUGAAAUGCGUAGAGAUGUGGAGGAACACCAGUGGCGAAGGCGGCUUUCUGGUCUGUAACUGACGCUGAGGCGCGAAAGCGUGGGGAGCAAACAGGAUUAGAUACCCUGGUAGUCCACGCCGUAAACGAUGAGUGCUAAGUGUUAGGGGGUUUCCGCCCCUUAGUGCUGCAGCUAACGCAUUAAGCACUCCGCCUGGGGAGUACGGCCGCAAAGGCUGA
Molecule: ribosomal RNA, 376 nt
Filed under: uncultured organism
Description: partial 16S ribosomal RNA
Rfam family: Bacterial small subunit ribosomal RNA
Source: RNAcentral